AUGCAAAGAACUUUGAAAAGAGAGUUAAAGAGUACCUGAAAUUGCUGAAAGGGAAGCGAAGGAAACCAGUAUCACGCGCAUUCAUAUUUCUAGUGCCGUUUACGGCGCUGGCGUUGUGCGUGUGCGUGGGUCAGCAUCGGUUCACAUCCCGCCUCAAACAGCGUCGCACGAGGUGUCCCCUUUGUGGGGAGUUAUACGUGUGAUGCAGUGCUGCGGGUAGGAUCGAGGCGAAGUCACUUUGUGCUCGUAAUGCUGACGAAAUGGUUUUCUUUACCCCGUCUUGAAACACGGACCAAGGAGUCUAACAUAUGUGCGAGUAUAGGGGUGAUAAACCCCCGUGCGCAAUGAAAGUGACAGUGGUUGGACCCUUUCGGGGCACAAUCCGCCGGCCACAAUCCUUCGGGAGAAAGGUCUGAGUGUGAGCAUACAUGUUGGGACCCGAAAGAUGGUGACCUAUGCCUGAAUAGGGUGAAGCCAGGGGAAACUCUGGUGGAGGCUCGUAGCGAUUCUGACGUGCAAAUCGAUCGUCAAAUUUGGGUAUAGGGGCGAAAGACUAAUCGAACCAUCUAGUAGCUGGUUCCCUCCGAAAUUUCCCUCAGGAUAGCUGCAAUCGAACGUCAAUUUUAUGA
This 629-nucleotide ribosomal RNA is filed under the name Dactyliosolen sp. 1BOF. Its description in RNAcentral is "eukaryotic LSU rRNA". It matches the Rfam family "Eukaryotic large subunit ribosomal RNA", at positions 364 to 1006 of the family's 3401-position model. Lineage: Eukaryota; Bacillariophyta; Coscinodiscophyceae; Rhizosoleniales; Rhizosoleniaceae. The record is from RNAcentral.